This 386-nucleotide ribosomal RNA is filed under the name Pelobates cultripes (western spadefoot toad). Its description in RNAcentral is "SSU_rRNA_microsporidia". It matches the Rfam family "Eukaryotic small subunit ribosomal RNA", at positions 123 to 471 of the family's 1831-position model. Lineage: Eukaryota; Metazoa; Chordata; Amphibia; Anura; Pelobatidae. The record is from RNAcentral.
GUGACCGUGGCGGUGUAGUUGGAAGCAGAGGUGGAGGAGAAGGAUGAGGUAGCCAACACAGUUUUUUAUGUUUUUUUUUUAUUGUGGUAGCCCACAAAAUAUUGGGACAUAUAAAAAAAAAAAAGACAACUCUGUUCCGCAGAGUAGCUGUUGACAUUAUAGUUGUGCAGGCACUUUGUUGACUCUAGAGAACCUCGGACAAAUCGCACAUCCCCGUGACGGCGACUUUGCAUUCGGAUGUCAUCUAUAUCAACUUUUGAUGACAGUUUCUGCGUAACGGGGAAUCAGGGUUCCAUUCCGUACAGGGACCCUGAGAAAUGGCUACCACAUGCAAGGAAGGCAGCAGGCGUGCAAAUGACCGACUCCCGACGCGGGAUGGUAGUGAC